AAUAAUUUGUUUUCCAUUGUAUGUCAAUAGAAAGUUAUUUUAAAAAAGAAUAUAAUGAACAUGUGUAAUUAUGGGUUUUUUUUUUCCUCCUAUCAAAAAGAAAAUGAAAGGAAAAGAAAAGAAAAGAAAGGAAAGGAAAGGGCAAAUAUUUGCCAUCAAUUUCCCUGGAAACUUCAGUUGUUGAUUUUAUUGUUGCCAUUGGUAUUGCUGAUGGUAGUAGAUAUGCUGCCAUUGGCAUUGGGGGUGGUUGUGAGGUUGGCGUUAGUAUUAGUACUAUUAGUAAUGUUGCUGGGGUGAGCACCACCGCCAAUUAUGGAGGUAAUUGCAGCUGCCAGAGCUGCAGUGAAGUUGGGAUCAGCUGCAAUAGCAGCAGUUGCAGCAGUAACAUUGUCAGCCAAUGAAUUUUGCUGUCCCUGCUGCUGGUGGAUUGCUGCUGCUGCUGCUACUUGUGAUUGGUGGCCUAAUUUAUUUUUACCUUCCACGUCUUGAGACAUUUGUAGCCCAGAAAACUUUGAUUGAUUGUAAAAUGCUUGUCCAAAAAUCUGAGGCAGCAAUGCUGCUACUGCAGCUGGAGAAUUUGCAAAAUUUUGAGGUUGGUCUGGGAAUGGGACUUGGAAUUGACUUGGCUGUCUUUGGAAUUGUAAUGGGUUGGGGUUCUGGGUUAGGUCUAAGGUAACAGUAGGAAAUGGGGCUGACGCUGAUAUGGUUGCCAUGCUAGAGGAACAUGGUAGGAGAGUUCUUGUCAGGAAAUUUGGGUUCAUUAUUCCAUCAGCACUAGACAUGGACCCUGACAGUAACAUUCUUGCUGCUGAUGAAGUUGUUGAUGCCAUAGCCAUUGCAGCCGGAGGCAAAGGAUGGUUGUGAUUACCCUCAUAUGUCGUUAUGAGGAUCGUUUGAUCUUCUGCACAUCUUUGUACCUGUUUUCUAACUGGGCAACCAGCGGCCAUGGUGCACCUAUAAUAAGCUCGAGGACAUGGAUUUCCCUUAGCCAUCUUCUGUCCAUACUUUCUCCAUUGGCAUCCAUC
RNAcentral lists this unclassified non-coding RNA (1025 nucleotides) under Hevea brasiliensis (rubber tree). The record is from RNAcentral. Lineage: Eukaryota; Viridiplantae; Streptophyta; Magnoliopsida; Malpighiales; Euphorbiaceae.